GACGAACGCUGGCGGCGUGCCUAAUACAUGCAAGUAGAACGCUGAAGGAGGAGCUUGCUUCUCUGGAUGAGUUGCGAACGGGUGAGUAACGCGUAGGUAACCUGCCUGGUAGCGGGGGGUAACUAUUGGAAACGAUAGCUAAUACCGCAUAAGAGUAGAUGUUGCAUGACAUUUGCUUAAAAGGUGCAAUUGCAUCACUACCAGAUGGACCUGCGUUGUAUUAGCUAGUUGGUGGGGUAACGGCUCACCAAGGCGACGAUACAUAGCCGACCUGAGAGGGGGAACGGCCACACUGGGACUGAGACACGGCCCAGACUCCUACGGGAGGCAGCAGUAGGGAAUCUUCGGCAAUGGACGGAAGUCUGACCGAGCAACGCCGCGGGAGUGAAGAAGGUUUUCGGAUCGUAAAGCUCUGUUGUAAGAGAAGAAAGAGUGUGAGAGUGGAAAGUUCACACUGUGACGGUAUCUUACCAGAAAGGGACGGCUAACUACGUG
This 495-nucleotide ribosomal RNA is filed under the name uncultured bacterium. RNAcentral's name for it is "partial 16S ribosomal RNA". It matches the Rfam family "Bacterial small subunit ribosomal RNA", at positions 28 to 507 of the family's 1533-position model. The record is from RNAcentral.